GCGAAAUCCCCAUCGGCAGUUAUCACGAGAAGACAGAAGUUGCCUGGCGUGCAUCGAGUCAAUUUAGAAAAGAACAUCACCUGUUUGUUACUCAUCUGCACAAGUACUGGUGAAGGGGGUCAUCGGCCAUCAAAUUUCAGAGUUCAGUGGUUAAUAGGGGAUGUGAAAUGGCUACUCCAGUGAAACUAAGAAUCAUUCUUGGAGAAAACAAUUCUCAGAGAUUGAUCCUUCCAGAUGGGAUGCCAGAGACUGUCAUGGAACUCAUACAGGAAAUUAAGAGACACUGUGGAGUAGAUGGGGACUUCAGGCUUCAAUUUAUGGAUUUUGAGUUUGGGAACGAAUUCACUAAUUUGGUCUCAAUGUCAGACAUCCAGGACAAAAGCUCCAUCAAGGUCAUCUUUAACUCUGCUACACCUGCACAGCCUGAUGGAACCCCGCCCCCUCCCUACUCAGCUGCUGCAACCUCCCACCUGCUGGAUGACUCCUUGUCUCUUUCAUCUGCUGGUAGCUCAUGUGAUACAGACAUAUCUUCUACUGAGUCCACCUCCUCGCGAUCCACUGCAUGGCCCACUGUCUUCCCCAUGCCCCAGUU
Archocentrus centrarchus (flier cichlid) is the source of this 592-nucleotide long non-coding RNA. RefSeq lists it as uncharacterized. The record is from RefSeq and is a predicted model, not a curated record. Lineage: Eukaryota; Metazoa; Chordata; Actinopteri; Cichliformes; Cichlidae. The transcript is spliced from 3 exons.